UACGGAGGGUGCAAGCGUUAAUCGGAAUUACUGGGCGUAAAGCGCACGCAGGCGGUCUGUCAAGUCGGAUGUGAAAUCCCCGGGCUCAACCUGGGAACUGCAUUCGAAACUGGCAGGCUAGAGUCUUGUAGAGGGGGGUAGAAUUCCAGGUGUAGCGGUGAAAUGCGUAGAGAUCUGGAGGAGUACCGGUGGCGAAGGCGGCCCCCUGGACAAAGACUGACGCUCAGGUGCGAAAGCGUGGGGAGCAAACAGG
RNAcentral lists this ribosomal RNA (253 nucleotides) under uncultured bacterium. RNAcentral's name for it is "partial 16S ribosomal RNA". It matches the Rfam family "Bacterial small subunit ribosomal RNA", at positions 524 to 776 of the family's 1533-position model. The record is from RNAcentral.